This 253-nucleotide ribosomal RNA is filed under the name uncultured bacterium. Its description in RNAcentral is "partial 16S ribosomal RNA". It matches the Rfam family "Bacterial small subunit ribosomal RNA", at positions 524 to 776 of the family's 1533-position model. The record is from RNAcentral.
UACGGGGGGAGCAAGCGUUGUUCGGAUUUACUGGGCGUAAAGGGCGCGUAGGCGGCGCAACAAGUCACUUGUGAAAUCUCCGGGCUUAACCCGGAGCGGCCAAGUGAUACUGUCGUGCUAGAGUGCGGAAGGGGCUACUGGAAUUCUCGGUGUAGCGGUGAAAUGCGUAGAUAUCGUAAGGAAGACCAGUGGCGAAGGCGGGUCUCUGGACAGUUCCUGACGCUGAGGCACGAAGGCCAGGGGAGCAAACGGG